This 384-nucleotide ribosomal RNA is filed under the name uncultured Alcaligenaceae bacterium. RNAcentral's name for it is "bacterial SSU rRNA". It matches the Rfam family "Bacterial small subunit ribosomal RNA", at positions 992 to 1382 of the family's 1533-position model. Lineage: Bacteria; Pseudomonadati; Pseudomonadota; Betaproteobacteria; Burkholderiales; Alcaligenaceae. The record is from RNAcentral.
CUAACGAAGCAGAGAUGCAUUAGGUGCCGAAGGAAAGUGGACACAGGUGCUGCAUGGCUGUCGUCAGCUCGUGUCGUGAGAUGUUGGGUUAAGUCCCGCAACGAGCGCAACCCUUGCCGAUAGUUGCUACGAAAGGGCACUCUAUCGGGACUGCCGGUGACAAACCGGAGGAAGGUGGGGAUGACGUCAAGUCCUCAUGGCCCUUAUGGGUAGGGCUUCACACGUCAUACAAUGGUCGGUACAGAGGGCUGCCAACCCGCGAGGGGGAGCUAAUCCCAGAAAACCGAUCGUAGUCCGGAUUGCAGUCUGCAACUCGACUGCAUGAAGCCGGAAUCGCUAGUAAUCGCAGGUCAGCAUACUGCGGUGAAUACGUUCCCGGGCCUU